ACGAGUAAAGAGUUAAAUCUGUCUUUGAUUUGUUCGUUGCCCUUUUAGUUAUCAAAGGAUAAUUCAACUUAAAUCAGACUGUCUGAUAUUGACAUUUAGUACACUCGUGUUUGUGUAGGCAGUGAAGGAAAACAAUUCAAAUAGAUUGUUUUUUUGCAGCAGUUACCCUUGUCAUCAGAAGAUAAGCUACGGAACCAGACAGUUAUCUGCCUAACUCUCACUUUCCAUCAUGCUGUUUGCUCAAUGAGCGGGACUCGAGCUCUGCCUACUGCUGCUUAUGGGCAAAAUUUGUUUACUACUAUCAAGGUUGUGCACCUAAAAUCUGUGGAUGCUGACACUGGAGAAAAGCAUCUACUUUGGGUUGCAAAUCAUCAAGAGCCAGCACUUCUAAAGCCUUCUCGUCUUUGCUUAGCCAGCAAAACAUGCAUCUACUUCAAUGCCCUCACCCCAUUGGAUCAAAAAAUUUUCAUCUUCUUUCUAUGUAGCAUCUGCUACUUUGUGUUGUGAACCAUCAAGCACCACCACUUCUGAAGCCUUCUUAUCAUUACUUGGCCAGAAAAACCUGCAUAAACUUCAAUGCCAUCACCUAAUUGGACUGACAAUUUUCAUCAUCUUUCUACAUAGCAUCAUCAACUUUGUGCUUCUAACCGUCAAGUGCCACCAUUUCUGAAGCCUUAUCAUCUUUACUUGGCCAGCAAAACCUGCAUAAUCUUCAACAUCAUCACUUCAUUGGACCGACAAAUUUUCAUCUUCCUGCUGUAAAAUUCGACGUUAGACGAUUUGCCUGUUUCCUGCUCCCGACGACCAAGACACGUAAGAAUUAUCUAUUUUCCUUCCAGCUCAUAUUCAACCAUCGAUAUUCCGGUUUUCCCGUCUUCUCCUCCUCAGGCUAUUUAAAAUAUUGCCACGUACAGUAUUCGCAAAAAGCAGAAAGUGACGUAUCAGGAUGCAGCCUAGCGGAUAGACGACGAACGAAAAGGAUUUCACCGUGGGAGGCCUUGUAUGUAUUGUAUUGUCUUGUUGUUUACUGUAUGUAACUAGUUAACCCGUUGGCUGCCACCCCGUUUGCUCCCAUUUUUUUUGUAGUUGUAGGGACCUGGGCGCUGUUCUCCUCAUGGCCAUGGGGGGAACAGUCGCCGUUGCGCCUAAUGGCUUUAUGCCAUUAGGCGUUAGGCAAUGCACCAGUAGGGACUUCUCUCUGUCGGCACGGUGAGAGAUAUCCUGGGGUGUGCAUUCCCAGAAUGGACUCUAUCACCGUGCCAGCCCGGGCUUGUCUUCGGACAAGCCCCACCUUGGUCGGGGAUCCUUAAGGCACGACGCGUAGCAACUGUAGUUUAAGCAACCUACGGGUUGCGGUGGCCUGGCAGCCAACGGGUUAACUAGUUAGUUGUAUAUGUAUGUUUGUAUGUGUAUUGUAUGUAUUGUAUGUUCUGUAAAA
Molecule: long non-coding RNA, 1438 nt
Organism: Daphnia carinata
Lineage: Eukaryota; Metazoa; Arthropoda; Branchiopoda; Diplostraca; Daphniidae
Exons: 7
Source: RefSeq, a predicted model, not a curated record